RNAcentral lists this transfer RNA (69 nucleotides) under Pachydactylus wahlbergii (Wahlberg's Kalahari gecko). RNAcentral describes it as "tRNA-Ala". It matches the Rfam family "tRNA". From Rfam's summary of the family: Transfer RNA (tRNA) molecules are approximately 80 nucleotides in length. Their secondary structure includes four short double-helical elements and three loops (D, anti-codon, and T loops). Lineage: Eukaryota; Metazoa; Chordata; Lepidosauria; Squamata; Gekkonidae. The record is from RNAcentral.
AGAGGCCUUGGCUUAAAUUAAAGCGGUUGAGUUGCAGUCAAUAGAUGUGAAUUAGAGUUUUACAGGUCU